CAGUAGCGUAUAUUAAUGUUGUUGCAGUUAAAAAGCUCGUAGUUGGAUUUCUAGCAGACAUGCGUGGUCCGGUCCACUUUGUGGAACUGAGUAUCGCUGCGUGUCUGUUAUCUUACUAGUUUAUCGUCCCUCUGGGAAGGUUGACUGGUUCUUUUACUUUGAAAAAAUUAGAGUGUUUAAAGCAGGCUUGCGCAAUGAAUACAUUAGCAUGGAAUAAUAACAUAAGACUUUGGUUUUAUUUUGUUGGUUCAUAGCACUGAAGUAAUGAUUGAUAGGGAUAGUUGGGGGUGCUAGUAUUGAGCGGCCAGAGGUGAAAUUCGGGGAUUCGCUCAAGACUAACUUAUGCGAAAGCAUUCACCAAGGAUGUCUUCUUUAA
This 376-nucleotide ribosomal RNA is filed under the name uncultured eukaryote. Its description in RNAcentral is "partial 18S ribosomal RNA". It matches the Rfam family "Eukaryotic small subunit ribosomal RNA", at positions 592 to 976 of the family's 1831-position model. The record is from RNAcentral.